Molecule: long non-coding RNA, 801 nt
Organism: Elgaria multicarinata webbii
Lineage: Eukaryota; Metazoa; Chordata; Lepidosauria; Squamata; Anguidae
Exons: 3
Source: RefSeq, a predicted model, not a curated record
UGUUUCAGCAGAGAGAGUGAAGGGCCCUGCGAUGCACUGGGCAUGGCCCCUGUCCGAGGCUCUUUUCACAUUGUGCUACUGUCUAAGCCCGACCCAAGCAGUGCAAUGUUAAAAGGGCAUUGGGUGGAUGGCCACAGCAGCACAAAAGCUCUGUACCUCCAUUGGUAAAGCUCAAGGGGUAGGCAUGGAGCCUUGUUGUAUAAGGCAAAAGGAUGUGUGAUGGAGAAAAAUGAUAGUUCCCUCUCCCCCCCUCCCUAUACACACACACACACAACAGUAGCAAAAAGUGGGCUCCUGUGACACCUCAAGCAGUAUAUCCACCGCACCUCUUACAUGUUCAAUGUCAACUGCUGGAUUUGGAUAGUUCACAAGCCAAUGGGGUAUGGUACUUGAAGGGUUGGUUCAAUCCUUGCAAGUUACCUUUGUCACUUCUGUUUCUGAGGCCAUUGCAGCAAUCUACCACCAAAUAAAUGUUACUAUGUUGACCCUUGGGUGCGUCUUCUGUUCUUCUAGACUUGGCUGACUGUUGGUAAAUGCUAAAGCCUGUGGAAAGGAAGCUCUGACUUUCUAGAUGUCAGAAAGAAGAUAUGGGCAUCUGUGUUAGCAGAAAGGAGAGGAGCAUAAGAAGCUGCCUUAUACUGAACCAGACCACCGCUUCAUCCAGAUCAACAUUGUCAGCUUUGACUGGCAGCAAUUAUGACAGGGCCUUGGGUAGAGGUGACUUCUUAAUGAAAAGUUCUCAGCAACAGAAACAUUUACAUGUUUGGUUAAGGAAAACCAGAACACCUCAAUUAUUUGUUU